RNAcentral lists this ribosomal RNA (468 nucleotides) under uncultured bacterium. Its description in RNAcentral is "partial 16S ribosomal RNA". It matches the Rfam family "Bacterial small subunit ribosomal RNA", at positions 28 to 507 of the family's 1533-position model. The record is from RNAcentral.
GACGAACGCUGGCGGCGUGCUUAACACAUGCAAGUCGAACGGAAAGGCCCUGCUUUUGUGGGGUGCUCGAGUGGCGAACGGGUGAGUAACACGUGAGUAACCUGCCCUUGACUUUGGGAUAACUUCAGGAAACUGGGGCUAAUACCGGAUAGGAGCUCCUGCUGCAUGGUGGGGGUUGGAAAGUUUCGGCGGUUGGGGAUGGACUCGCGGCUUAUCAGCUUGUUGGUGGGGUAGUGGCUUACCAAGGCUUUGACGGGUAGCCGGCCUGAGAGGGUGACCGGCCACAUUGGGACUGAGAUACGGCCCAGACUCCUACGGGAGGCAGCAGUGGGGAAUAUUGCACAAUGGGCGGAAGCCUGAUGCAGCAACGCCGCGUGCGGGAUGACGGCCUUCGGGUGGUAAACCGCUUUCGCCUGUGGCGAAGCGUGAGUGACGGUAAUGGGUAAAGAAGCACCGGCUAACUACGUG